GACAGAGGGUGCAAACGUUGUUCGGAAUUACUGGGCGUAAAGCGUGUGUAGGCGGUCUGCUAAGUCGGGUGUGAAAGCCCCGGGCUCAACCCGGGAAGUGCACUCGAAACUGGCAGGCUAGAGUACUGGAGAGGUUGGUGGAAUUCCUAGUGUAGCGGUGAAAUGCGUAGAGAUUAGGAAGAACACCAGUGGCGAGGGCGAUUCUCUGGACCAUAACUGACGCUGAGGCAUGAAAGCGUGGGUAGCAAACAGG
Molecule: ribosomal RNA, 253 nt
Filed under: uncultured bacterium
Lineage: Bacteria
Description: partial 16S ribosomal RNA
Rfam family: Bacterial small subunit ribosomal RNA
Source: RNAcentral